AGCUUCAGUAUCGCGUUGGCGUGCAACCCGAACGGACGUGAAAUCGUAGACGUCAGGGCAGGUUGUGCCGUGUCUCCCGUGCGUAAACGUGCUUCGGAACGCGCCGCAGUGUUUGGUGCCGCGAAUUUGUGCCGCGGCCAAAGCAAGCAAAGCGAAGAAGAGGAAGGAAAAGUGCUCGCGCACAAGUCGCGCCCAUCGCACGUGCAUCCCAAAACGCACGACAAAAAAAAAAAAACAAGUCAAAAAGUUAUACUCUCGCGAAGAGUUUGUCUUUCUUACAAAACUAAUAUUCGCCCAGGUGGCUUACAAUCGCACUCCUGCAAAGUUUAAGACGUCCAACGCGCUCUCCUGGCACAACCAGGUGGCCACUGCAAAGGACGUGGACACUCUAGAGAAAAAAAUACGCUUCUUUUUGCACCGACUUUUAUCUGCACAGCCUAACUGGGAAGAGGCCGGGAAACAGCCGAAGCAGCAGCAGCAGCCGAUAUUCGCGAAUCACUCGAGGGCAAGUAACAGUUCUUUCACCCGGCGCAACGUUUGCGCGGGAAAGGAAGAAGGCAAGAAGCACCGUGCCCAACUGUGCGCACGAACUGUCUGCUGUAUUCAUUAUUCGCACGGCUUAAGGCACGCCGUAAAUAGAGCACACACACACAUUAAACCCGACGCGCUGCUUGCGCAGAAAACGAAGCUGAAGACGUGUAAAGUGACCCCUCACUUGAGCCUUCAAAUCUUGAGUGUCCGGCGUGUUUGGAGUGGAGGAGUCACUGGAAUCCAGGCCCUUGUCAACGAGCCAAACACCCUGUUGGUACUCACCUGGCGCCUCAGUUUCUGGAGCAAAGGUGACGGAAAAGACGCGAAACCAAAUCAACCACCGGGUGGCGGCAACAAAACCCCAAAACAGAUCAAGGUUACUAGAUGAAAGUGUACCGCACCGCGGACCCAGCUCGUAGGUGAAGAAGAAAACAGCCCACAAGACGGGACACCCUCGUACGCCAUCUGUCAUCUUAAUUCACCGGUGGUGGGCCACCGACCGGACGUUGGCGUUGCUGCUCAAGAGUUCAAGCUUUUUGUACAAUUAAACGGCAACUAUUUAACAGUGUGGAACCAGCGCACCGGUGUGGUUGUUGUUGUUGCUAUUGUAGCUUAGCCUACUCUGUGUCUGUGUGUGCAUUAGAUUGUGUGUGUGCGUGUGGUACGGUUUGUGUGCCUGUGUGUAUUCCCCGCCCAAAGUGAGUCGAAGAAGUGAGUGAGUGGAAUCGAUAAAUCAAAGUAGGCGCGAAUCAACUGCUACAGCAAACUCAGAAUCGAGACGUGAAGAGAGUCACCACAGACACAUCUCUUGCCAACUCGAGCUGAAACCCCGCACAGCCAGCCAGCUGGAAGUCGUAUUCGAAAACCGGAAAAAAGGUAUUUACUUACAAGCGGAAAAGCAAAGUGUCUGUGCGUGUGUUCGUGUGUGUUAGUUUGUGAGGUUAGUGUGCGUAUCGUUCCGUGACGUGCGUGAGCCCCAAAUAUCGAGGGGUGGAAAAUUUCGCCCCCCCCCCAUCAAACCGGAGGAAGGGUUGGCCGGAACAUCCCGGAAACACUCGCCCCCGCGGCUGCUGCUACCGGAAAAUUUGAAAUUGACCGUACCAAACGAACCGAAGCCGAAGUAGCCUGAUCCAUCGUUCCAUCUUGGUGCCUGGUGGUGCAUCAUCUUGAUAAAAAGAACCCAAAACGUCGAUCCUGAUCCGGAUAGGAGAGCAGCAGUAUCGCGCGCGCCGACAGUAAAUUGGAACACGACCGACGUCGAGAUCGGGAAAAACCUCUCCCCAAACACCGGACCCGCACAGACAGACAGCAGCAGCAGCACCAGCAUGGAAGUGGCGUCACUGGCAACCGGGACCGGCACGACGACGGCAACGCGGGCACCAUUCCAGCGCGAGGUGCGCGAGUGGCAACAUGUCGAUCCAAAUACGGGCGCCCUGCUGACGGGCCGGCUCGAGGCGGACCGCUGGGUAAACGGGCCACUCAACAGCUACGGCAAGAUGGUUUCACAGAACCUGUCCACACCGGACGGAACGCAGCACACGCAGCGGAAGCAGAUGGAGAUCCUGCAGGCCCGCACGUCCGCCGGCUCGCUGCAAGUGGUCCGCGCCCAAACCGUCCAAACGACCUCGUCCCGCUGGUCCUCCUCGACGGUGCACUCCACCACCACGAGCACAGAGCAAACGACGGGCAGCAGCGGCAGCGUUGGCGCCAUCACCGGACCCACCGCUGCUGGUUCGCCCCUCGCAACGAACGGCUUCUCCAGCCAUCAUCUCCUAUCUUCCUUCCACCGUCCGCUGUCCUCUGGCACUACCAGCAGCAGUAGACUCUUGACUGUAGGAUCUAGUCGAUCCGAUGCACCACAGACGACACCACUCGGCGGAUCUGCGUUCGUCAGCACGGCCACGAAACCGUUCCCAAGGUUUUCCUCCAGCCCAACGUCCGCGGGCAGCAGCUUCGUCAACACCAGCGGACCACUCCGGUACGGCCGGCAGCUGUAUGCAGUCGAUGCGGAUGCGCAUGACGAUCGUGGCUCGUACCACCACACUGCUACCAACCAGCAGCCCCUUCGUACCGUUGCCGUUGAACAGGACAGCAGCAUCAACGGCAACAGCGUACCGCUGGCCCGCGGCAAGAGCAUCUCGAUCGAGGACCUUUCGACCGAGCGUGACGAGAGCAACUUCGAUGACGACGUCGAACCCACGCAGUGGAAGCGAGUGAGCAAAAUACGGCGAUCAUUACAGUUCCCAAGGAAAACCACCCCGAGGACCAACACACGCCCGAUCGACCUGCCCGAGAACUCCGUCAGCGUGUCGCGCAUCUGUCAGGAGCUCGAGAACGGCCGCCGUCUCAACACGGCCAUGCGCAACAACCACAUCGACUUUGUGGCGCUGGACAACAUCCUGAAGAGCGUUGCGGAUCAGCCCUGCACGGCCGCGACCACACCGCCCCACAGCAAUCCGACCCACAGCAAAUCGCCCCCGAAAGCGUCCUUCCUGACGGCGGAAUCGCUGCGCGAAAUACGCGGCCGCCUGCGCCGGCUCAGCAACGAGUCGCUGUACCGUGACGACAUGAGCCCGGCCGAUGACGCUUCCGGGCAGACGGUGGCGAGCGAUCGACCCAGCCCCGCUGACGAGGGUGGCGUAACGAUCACCGAGGUGGAAACGCGGCUCGGUCAGCUCGAGACGAGCAGCUCGUCCGACUCGAACUAUCGCAGCAGCAGUUUGCAGACGAGCAAGAAGCCAGCGCCAGACACAACGGUGCUGGCGCCGGACGAUUGGCAUUCGCGCCGUAAGUCAUACGGGUUUGAGCGGAUGAGCCAGCAGCCGCUUGGCAGCGGGUUUGCCAUGGCCAAGAUGGACUCGUCGACGGACAGUGGCAUUGGACGGUCGUCGGAUUUGAGCUCGAGCUGGUCGAGUGCCGCCACAGAGAGUGGUCAGGGUGCGGGCGGUUCCUACCAUCAUCAGCGGGCGACGAUCGUGACGCUUGGCGAACGAUCACAGCUGAAGGAGAAGCAAGCGACGAACCCGGCGAUGGUGAUCAAAAUCACUAGCAAGCCGGCUGACAGCACCAGCGACACGUUUGCAGUUCCAUCCUUGGAACCAACGGACGAGGAACCGAAGCGCCACUCGAUCGCGGUCGACGAGACGAGCUACGUGCGGGACAGCUUGCGCACCAUGUUCGAGCGCAAGUCGUCGGUGCACGUGAACGGAUUCAGCCACACGCUCAUCGACGAUCUGAGCCGCAACAAGAAGCGGGUCGAGUUCUGCAAGACGGAGGUACACUUUACGGCCGACUCCGGCCGGGUGAACAUCGUCGAGACGGAUGAGAAGCCACCGCCAACGAACAACUUCCGCCGGCGACGACGCUCAUCCGGCGGUUCGUCCUACCUGGUGUCGAACCUGGACGGUGAUUCGGACAGUGUCAACGCGACGGAUGAAUCGAAACUGGUGGGCCCCUCGUCGGAGAGUGUUGUGAUCGAGCAGGACACGGCGCCGGUCGUUACCACCACCAUCGGGGGAAUGGGUCGUACGGUACCGGAACCAACGCCCCGGAAGUACGUUCCAUCGGCCACCGUCACCGUGUCGGAUGAAAGCGAUGGCCACUCGACGGAUGAGAUAUCGCUGCGCAGCAUUCUGAAAAACAAACCCGUCAAACCGAAACCGUACGUGCUGGGCGAGAAUCUGGACAGCAACGAGGCGUUGUGGGGUGUGAAGCUGAAGCCGGUGGUAGCAGGAGGAGCGACGGUCGAGCAGAGCCAGCCCAGACUGCUGAGUGUGGAGAUGGGAACGGAGUCGAAAAGUUCGUCGCCCAUUGCCGCUGGUAGCGGCUACUCCACGAGGAUUAACCUGACGAAGGAACCGGCGGGGCCCAGCUCCUGGAGUGGCAGCAAUUCCACAGUAGACAAAGAGAUCCUUCACAGUGCGACGAACGGGCACGAGUCGGCUGCGGCGAAAUCAACCACCAAGAUCCUGAUCGACAUGACGUCAGCGGGCGAAGAGAAAGGACCGGCGGCGGCGGCGGGCGACGAGCUAAAGUCAACCUCGCUGAUCAUGCGUACCAUGCGUGCCGCGACCAAGCUCGACGAAGCGCUGAAGAGUCUGCAAGCCUUUCGGCGCGACUCGCUGGGAGAGAGCGGAACGCCAACAGGGCUGUAUCAGAGAGGUGGAGUCGACAUUGCCAGCCCGAAAGUGCGUCGCCAUUCCGCAUUCUGUCAGCUGAAUGGAGGUGCUGGUGUGAGUCAGAACAGCAGCAGCAGCAGUACGAUCAGCAGCCACUCGAUCGCCAAGUCCAGCAGUGCCAGCAGUAUCUACGCCGACUACCCGAAGCUGAGGACAUCAGGGAAGUAUGCGUCCUCGCUCGAUGGAGAUUCGCUGGAGCGUGAUGCCACGGUGUACGGAGUGUCACGGUACACUUCCGUCCUGCCAUCGACAGCAACGACGGCAGCAUCCCGUCGUAUCCUAACGAGCGAAUCGCGGCUGUCCGAUUUUGAGGCUUAUAUAAGCAAAAACACAGCGUCGGUAAGGCGUUCCAGCACGGCGGACGAUGUGGAUCGACUGGUGAGCAGUAAACCGAUCGCCGCACCGAGACUGAAGAAGCUCCAAGGCUCAACCGUUCUUAGUCAGCAGCUGUCGCAGCUACGCCGACUGUACGAUGCGGCCGAACUGUACGAUAGUGACAGUGAUAGCGCGAAGGCGGACGAGGAGGUGAAGCUGUACCUGGGCAAUCUGGCCGACGCCUCAUCGUCGACGUCUUCGUUUGGGCAGGCAACGGAACUGUCCGGUAGCUGGAGUCGCAUCAAAGCGAAACGAAACAUUCAGAAGUUCAACGGUAGUAGCCUUUCGACGGUGACGGCUGCACGCGACGAACCUAAGGAUACCGCCUUCUCGGUGAACUCGUCUGCAGAGUUUGAUGUUGUGAAACCCUCGGCCCUGAUCAGCCGCCAGCCGGCCAAACCUUCUGCUGUGAUGUCGAUUGAGCUGAAGAGCCCAACGCCCGUCAAGAAACUGCCACCAGCUUCUCACACCUCUAGUCCAGACACUUCUACGACAAAGAUAACAACGACACUGAAUGAUGAAUCGACGGCUGCUAGCACGCAGCAGCAAUCACCGAAGUUCCGACGUUACAUUCCGACCACGGCCACCAGCGCCACCACGCCCGGUGCCGUGCGUAACGAGGAACGCGCCUCGCUCCGGCUGUCGUCCGGUGCGCGGCAACUGCGCGAGAAUGAACUGUCAUUUUUCGGCGUCAACCCGAACAAGCAGCAGUCGUCCAGCCCGGCGGGCCCCACCGGCAAACCGCCAACGACUUCGACGACGACCCCGAACUCACCCUUUCAGCGAUCGGCCACACUAACGUCCUCCUUUAUUAGACGCUCUGGUACCACGACGACAUCGUCGACGACGACCACUACGGGGUCUGGCGAUAGUGCCACAUCCAAGACGUCCCUUUGGCAGCUAACCAACGAUAAGCCGGAUCUGUUACGGCACGGUCAGCAAGCAGCUGCAGCAGUAGAACAACCGAAGAGUCAGGCUGUUGCAGCUCCACGACCAGCUGUGAUACGCACUGGAUCAUCCUCCGUUGCUACCAGCAAUAGUGUGAGCGUAAACAGCAGCAGUAGCAGUGUGACAACGUCCACACUUUCAUCGGCCGAUGGUAGUCCCCACUACGAGAACUUGUCCCACUUUGCGCUGAAGCCGAAGGCAGCACAGCGUUCUGUGGGUUCUUCUCCGUCGGCUGGAGAGUUGUUGGUGCAGCAGCAGACGGCGAAGGUUGCAGAGAGCGAGAAACCGGCUGCAGCAUACGACCGGAAGAAGGAUUUGGAGCGGGAUGAACGCAUCUUGGAGGAGCUUACCCGUGCCGCGGAUGAGAUAUUGAAUGUUGUGAACAACAUGUCGAACGGUGAAAGUAUGGAGAGCAUUCUGAGUGAGCUGAACGACGGUGAGGGGCAUUAUCGACGACUCUCAACCGGUGGCUGUACGCUUGGCACUAUCCGUGAGUGCUCAACGACGAACAAGAUCAUGAAGUCACGGGGCGUUCAAGUUUCCAAAAACAUUGACGACAGCCUCAAGCGUCACCAUCAGCGGCAAUCGAGAUUGUCAUCAGCAUCUUCGAACGAAAGCAUCGGACGCCGACCGGAGGGAAACUUUACGCGCAGUGUCUCGCUACGCGGUCCCUCGACUGCUUCCACGACCGCCGGUGAUAGUCUUUCCAGCCGCUCCGGAUCUAGCCGUCGAAGCCGCGCUCCAAUGGCGACCGAAACCCGACGUCUGGUGCGCAUGUGCAGCAAGGAAAAGCUACAAUCAAACGCUAGCUCCUCCGAAGAUCUUCCCAGCACUACUGUGGUAGAGCCACCGCGUAGACCUCGCCGGACGCGCUACCACUCGAAGGAAACGAAGGACCCGGAACGCACGAGUGGCACUAGCAACGGUCACGGUACCAGAGUGAGCUCCUCCACCCGGUCCCAUCGUAGCGAGCGAUCGAGCGGAUCAAUUCGAACGGUCAGCUCCAGGCAUCAGGGACAAAGUGCAACUCCAACCACUGGACACACUGCCCAGACAGCGGUAAGCGCAAGUGUGUCGAGCCACCAUUCGCUACACUCCGCCUCGUGUCCAUCGUCCCGCGGGCUCAAGUCAUCGGCCACUAACGGGCACCACCAGCACCAUCAUUCGCAGCUGGCCUCCGCCACCACCACAACGUACGUAUUGCAAUCGUUCAUGCUGGUGCCGCCGCCCCGGCGCAAACGACGCCAGCAGCUCCAGCAGCACCCGACCAAGGUGGCCAAGGUGGUGCGGCGCCAGUCGUCCCGCCUAUCGCGCCACUCGCGGGAAGCAAAGCUGGCAAACCCGGUGCGCCGUCGCCGCCGCCGGCUUGAGCAGUGCAUCUGUUCCUAAACAAAAAAACACCCCGCGCAGCAAGCUUUUGACCAUUUGCGGCGGUUGGUCGCGCGUGUGCCUCGCUUAUUUCAUUUGGCCGCUGUUUGCGUAUGCGUAUGUGCUUGUGUGUGUGUAUGUGUGUGUAUUUGGAGUUAGGUGUGUACAUAACAGCGCGCGCGCGGGCCGAACACUCGGCGAUAGAUCGUCCAAAAAACAUCACCGAUAAGAGACGAACCCACACACACACAUCGGAUGACGCGUAGGAAAGUUCCCAACCAUGCAUGCACUGAUCGCGGGAUCUUCCCUAUUUUUUUGGGGACGAAACAGAUUGUUGGAGCAACGGCAAACAACGGCUAAUGAUGAUGAUGAUGAUGAUGAUGAUGGCACGCCUUCAUGUUGUGCUGGUGCAAGCGGACCAGCUCCAAAAACUGACCCCCCACGGGACGAUGUAACAGCCGACGUUGAUAAGCGACCAAGAAAGAGCCUGAUGAUGAUGAUGAUGAUGAUGUUGUGUCUUACUGGUGGUCACACACUGCUGCACUGCUGGUACCCGAGCAGGCCCCGUACGUACGCUCCAGUUAGCAGUUACGGCGAUAGGGGCUGGCCACGGUGCCUGAAAAUAGAAAAGAAAGAGAGAGAGAGCGCGCUUCUGCUGGCAACAAGCGCAUAAGCGAUGUAUGAUGUAUGAACCAAUUUCAACAAAACAAAAGAUUAACUAACCAACAACGUGGAUUGUGGCGACACCGACAAUUCGACAGCGACGAGCGCAUAAGACGAGGAAGAAAGAACGAAGCAAACAAACGGCAUGUGACGUUAAUGUUACGAAAACGAAAGAUUUAUUAUUGCCCUUUUUCAAUUGUAGUGUUUUUAUGCUUUCCUUUCUUGCGAACACACUUAGUGCAUAAGGUCCGACAUGUGCUCUCACUAACAUUAACACAAACAGCAGAGUUAGAUAGCUGCUCCUUCCUGCCGAAUGGGGUGGGGGAGUAGUUCGCGCUUGACAAACGAUCAAGAUAUCAAGAGCAAACUAUAGCAACACACUUGCAUGCGUUUCGAGAGGAUCGCGCACUGUCGUCAGGGGGCAAUCCUGUGAUCACAAUGUAAUAUUUGGUAGCCUACUACUAUUACUACUACACUGCAACUACUACUACUACUGCUACUACUACUACUUGCGUAAAUAUACAUACAUACAUACAUAUCUAAAGAGA
Molecule: RNA transcript, 8611 nt
Organism: Anopheles gambiae (African malaria mosquito)
Lineage: Eukaryota; Metazoa; Arthropoda; Insecta; Diptera; Culicidae
Gene name: mucin-2
Exons: 13
Source: RefSeq, a predicted model, not a curated record